GAUGAACGCUGGCGGCGUGCCUAAUACAUGCAAGUCGAGCGAACGGACGAGAAGCUUGCUUCUCUGAUGUUAGCGGCGGACGGGUGAGUAACACGUGGAUAACCUACCUAUAAGACUGGGAUAACUUCGGGAAACCGUAGCUAAUACCGGAUAAUAUUUUGAACCGCAUGGUUUAAAAGUGAAAGACGGUCUUGCUGUUACUUAUAGAUGGAUCCGCGCUGCAUUAGCUAGUUGGUAAGGUAACGGCUUACCAAGGCAACGAUGCAUAGCCGACCUGAGAGGGUGAUCGGCCACACUGGAACUGAAACACGGUCCAGACUCCUACGGGAGGCAGCAGUAGGGAAUCUUCCGCAAUGGGCGAAAGCCUGACGGAGCAACGCCGCGUGAGUGAUGAAGGUCUUCGGAUCGUAAAACUCUGUUAUUAGGGAAGAACAUAUGUGUAAGUAACUGUGCACAUCUUGACGGUACCUAAUCAGAAAGCCACGGCUAACUACGUG
RNAcentral lists this ribosomal RNA (497 nucleotides) under uncultured bacterium. RNAcentral describes it as "partial 16S ribosomal RNA". It matches the Rfam family "Bacterial small subunit ribosomal RNA", at positions 28 to 507 of the family's 1533-position model. The record is from RNAcentral.